Molecule: ribosomal RNA, 497 nt
Filed under: uncultured bacterium
Lineage: Bacteria
Description: partial 16S ribosomal RNA
Rfam family: Bacterial small subunit ribosomal RNA
Source: RNAcentral
GAUGAACGCUGGCGGCGUGCCUAAUACAUGCAAGUCGAGCGAACGGACGAGAAGCUUGCUUUUCUGAUGUUAGCGGCGGACGGGUGAGUGACACGUGGAUAACCUACCUAUAAGACUGGGAUAACUUCGGGAAACCGGAGCUAAUACCGGAUAAUAUUUUGAACCGCAUGGUUCAAAAGUGAAAGACGGUCUUGCUGUCACUUAUAGAUGGAUCCGCGCUGCAUUAGCUAGUUGGUAAGGUAACGGCUUACCAAGGCAACGAUGCAUAGCCGACCUGAGAGGGUGAUCGGCCACACUGGAACUGAGACACGGUCCAGACUCCUACGGGAGGCAGCAGUAGGGAAUCUUCCGCAAUGGGCGAAAGCCUGACGGAGCAACGCCGCGUGAGUGAUGAAGGUCUUCGGAUCGUAAAACUCUGUUAUUAGGGAAGAACACAUGUGUAAGUAACUGUGCACAUCUUGACGGUACCUAAUCAGAAAGCCACGGCUAACUACGUG